This 98-nucleotide transfer RNA is filed under the name Colletotrichum eremochloae. RNAcentral describes it as "tRNA-Val". It matches the Rfam family "tRNA". From Rfam's summary of the family: Transfer RNA (tRNA) molecules are approximately 80 nucleotides in length. Their secondary structure includes four short double-helical elements and three loops (D, anti-codon, and T loops). Lineage: Eukaryota; Fungi; Ascomycota; Sordariomycetes; Glomerellales; Glomerellaceae. The record is from RNAcentral.
GGUCUGGUGGUGUAGUUGGUUAUCACGUCAGUCUAACAUUCCGAGGCGCCUCGGUCUGAGCACACUGAAGGUCUCCGGUUCAAGUCCGGGCUAGAUCA